This 71-nucleotide non-coding RNA is filed under the name unclassified sequences. The record is from Rfam.
AUAAUGAUACUUCCGUCCCCGGAUUGCCGGGGCGGCUCGGAGCGUUCCUCGGAGGGGUGAGAGUCCCAUGA